AUUUCUCCGUAACCGCACCGCGUCAGCCCACACCGUGAGCAAAUUUGCAACAAAAUGGCCGGUGUUUAGGUAGCGCGAAUUUGCAUUUUCGCGUUUUACGGCUAUCCGUGCGGAAAACAGGGCUCGUUCGCCGAGAAAAACUACUCCUUUCUCAAUGUUUAUUCAUUCCAAGUGAUUCUCGUGUAACGAGAGAACAGAUUCAUUUCUCGUAUCGGCCAAUUUCAAUCCUCGCGUAUUUUAUUAUCGACGUAACGUGUGUGUUCAUAUUGAUUACAAAGAGAUUAAAAUCUGUUGAAGAAUUCUUUUAAUGAUUAAAAACAAUACAAUUAACAACAUAAUUAAAAACUCAUUAAUAAUAUUUUAUUUUACUUGACAGUAUUUUGAGAGUAUCCUUGUUUUUGAUGUCUUGACAACUGUUCCUGAAGAGAAAGAAAAGCAGGCGACAUGUAAAUUUCCUUAUUAUCAAAAAUGAAGGUUUAACGGAUAUAUAUGACAAAUAAAAAAACCAAUGCAGUGAAGAAAUAACGGAUUAUUGUUCUCCUUGGCUUUUCUCGACUUCCAUCGAAGCCAGUUGUUCUUCGAAACUAAUUGGCCAUCGGUUAACUUACCUCGUUAGCCAACGUCCCAAUACUUGCAAAACGGGCGUGCGGUUGAAUCAUAAAAGCGACGUGCCCAUCGGUUGCAUCGAAAAGGAAAUAAAGAAGGCGUGAGGAGACACGAGCCAUCUUGUCACCGAUUACGAAAGGAGGAAAUUAUUACGCGUCCCCAUACGCGUUGUAAAAUGUCAUCGAGAAACGUCGAAAAACUCAUUUCUUUCUUUCGAUUCUUGGGGUUUAUAAAAAAAACGUGCGUGAAUCGUACACGUCUUUUCUGAAAAUUGCGUUUCAUUUCAAUUAACCGACGAUUAACGACACACGCUGUCCGAUCCGCAAUUAUUUAAAGCGAUUAUGGCCGAUUAUCGAUUGUCCAUGAUUUUUCAAUGAAUCUGUUUUCUUUCUGACGGUACAAUAAAAAAUGGAAAAUAGAAUUUUUCACUAUCAGAAUAUCAAAGUCUCUGUCUUUUAAAUGGCGAUUGUAGUACAUGAUAAUAUUCCAAAAGUUCCUUUGAGAGAACGCGGCAAUUUAAAUGAUAGAUCAUAAUCAUUGAUGAUUUAUGAAUAUGAAUAUAAAUUGUAUAAGAUUCUGAUUAUUAGAAUGUUUUAGAGGAAAAUUAUUUCUCGAUAAAUGAGAAAAUACACUCGUAAAAAUAUAAAUUCAUUUGCCAAGAAAAAAGGAAAAAACAUAUUCAUUGUAUAGAAAAAAAAUAAAUAAAAAAUGUAACGUUAAAAUAUUCCCAAACCCUUAUAAUCCUAUGCCUCGUCUUUUUUUAUCAUUAAAAUAAGAAAAUUGAACUUUUGAAAUACGCUUUUGUCCUUACAUGUAAUAAAAUUGAUGAUAUAGCAGGGUAAGAACAUAUGGAAA
Apis laboriosa (Himalayan honeybee) is the source of this 1461-nucleotide long non-coding RNA. RefSeq lists it as uncharacterized. Lineage: Eukaryota; Metazoa; Arthropoda; Insecta; Hymenoptera; Apidae. The record is from RefSeq and is a predicted model, not a curated record. The transcript has 3 exons.